Molecule: long non-coding RNA, 346 nt
Filed under: Cavia porcellus (domestic guinea pig)
Lineage: Eukaryota; Metazoa; Chordata; Mammalia; Rodentia; Caviidae
Description: lncRNA (ENSCPOG00000040585.1)
Source: RNAcentral
CCGCGGCCCUGGCGCGCGUGACGCAGAAGCGUACGCUAGUACGUGACGUCGCAAGGACGUACGCUCUGGAGCUCACAAGGGAAGAUGGCGGCUGUACCUUUGGAGGAGAGCGACUGAAAAGGGAGGAGGAAGGAGGUCAGGCAGGGAAACACUGCCAACUGUGAAGACGAACGCUUCGCUCGACAUUAGGAGGUCUGCUCAACGCCAGCGGAUUACUACUGUCUUGCCUUGAGAUCCUUAUUGCUUUAGAAAAUGGUACACACAUUGUCCACUGAAAUGGAAAAAAUAAUUUCUUAAAAGAAAGCUACAUUCUGGCUUCUGUGAACGAAGUUGAGUGACACGGUAA